This 67-nucleotide microRNA precursor is filed under the name Caenorhabditis japonica. RNAcentral describes it as "pre miRNA CJA48967". Lineage: Eukaryota; Metazoa; Nematoda; Chromadorea; Rhabditida; Rhabditidae. The record is from RNAcentral.
CGCUCGUUCUGAUGGUUGUUAUGCCGAUCCGAGAGAAGAAGCAUCACAACCUCCAAGAAAGAGUAGA